CGCAAAGGACGCUGGGAGCAAAGAGCGUUAGUACAAGUGAUGAUGUUUCACUUUGAGACGAAACCUCUCGAUUUACAUUUCCGUUCAUCAUUACUUAUAAUAACUGUUUUGGUGUUACAUUUAUUACAGUGAAAAAAACUAAAACAAAUUUAACUGUAAAAUUGAUAAAACAUAUCAUUAUUUUUCGUUUUAACGUGAUUGCAGGGUGAAACCUCUUUCGCACAUUAACAUAUCGCUCAGCUCGCAAAUUCAUAAUAGCCCCGAGAAAAACUAAACAUAUAGAAAUCAGCCCAAAUAAAGUGCAUUUUCAGACUUUUGCUCAAUCAAAACGGGAGAAUGCAAAGUGUAGGGCAGCGGGACCUGGACAAGAUCUACUCAGUGAUCUUGUUGGGGAUCGUGAUCUUGUCCUGGGCCUAUGUCAUCUAUGCCAGUCGAAUUGCAGCUCAGUGGCUCCUGGAGGAAAGAGCUGCAAAGACCUGAAGCCAAAACUAACUACAGGGACAAGGACUAAUAGUUAAGAAUAUUUUCAAAUGGACCAAAUGGAGAAGGUGACUCUCAACAAAUUGACUCAAAGGCUCAAGACUGAAAGAAAUGUAAUAUAUUUAUUUAUUUAUUUUAAUUGCAAUCUUUUGUUGUUCUGUAUUUCAUAACAUGCUCAAGUUAAUUUGGUUAUUUUAAUAUGUAUUUAAAUGUAUAUUUGUGUAAAUAAAAUGCAAAAGAAGA
Long non-coding RNA from Boleophthalmus pectinirostris (great blue-spotted mudskipper), 723 nucleotides. RefSeq lists it as uncharacterized. The record is from RefSeq and is a predicted model, not a curated record. The transcript has 3 exons. NCBI's taxonomy places the organism in Eukaryota, Metazoa, Chordata, Actinopteri, Gobiiformes, Gobiidae.